UUUUUGCCUCAACAGCAUGCUGGGAGUUGUAGUUUUGCAACAGCUGGAGGCGCCUUAGUUGAAAAACACUGCUACAGCUCCCAGGUUUCCAUGAUAGUUGAAGACAUGCUGGGCGUUGUCGUUUUGCAACAGCAGGAGGCACAUAAUUUAGAAAACACAAGUAGCGCAAAAUCAUAUAAAUCUGGUUCAUUCUAUGACUUUUUCGCCCCCAUGGCUCAACAAAUCCCAGGCGUCAGGACUAGGAAAUGCAUCCUGGCACCUAGUUUUUUUUGCCUCAACAGCAUGCUGGGAGUUGUAGUUUUGCAACAGCUGGAGGCGCCCUGCUUGGGGAACACUGCUAUAGGGUAUGUAAACUUUUGCAAAAAAAAAAAUAUAUAUAUUAAAGAAAAUUGUAUUGCU
Long non-coding RNA from Hyla sarda, 399 nucleotides. RefSeq lists it as uncharacterized. Lineage: Eukaryota; Metazoa; Chordata; Amphibia; Anura; Hylidae. The transcript is spliced from 2 exons. The record is from RefSeq and is a predicted model, not a curated record.